GAUGAACGCUGGCGGCGUGCCUAAUACAUGCAAGUCGAGCGAACGGACGAGAAGCUUGCUUCUCUGAUGUUAGCGGCGGACGGGUGAGUAACACGUGGAUAACCUACCUAUAAGACUGGGAUAACUUCGGGAAACCGUAGCUAAUACCGGAUAAUAUUUUGAACCGCAUGGUUCAAAAGUGAAAGACGGUCUUGCUGUCACUUAUAGAUGGAUCCGCGCUGCAUUAGCUAGUUGGUAAGGUAACGGCUUACCAAGGCAACGAUGCAUAGCCGACCUGAGAGGGUGGUCGGCGGCACGGGAGCGGAGGCGCGGGCCAGACGCCUGCGGGAGGGAGCAGUAGGGAAUCGUCCGCAGUGGGCGGGAGCCUGGCGGAGCGGGGGCGCGUGAGUGGUGGAGGUGUUCGGAUCGGAAAACUCUGUUAUUAGGGAAGAACAUAUGUGUAAGUAACUGUGCACAUCUUGACGGUACCUAAUCAGAAAGCCACGGCUAACUACGUG
RNAcentral lists this ribosomal RNA (497 nucleotides) under uncultured bacterium. RNAcentral's name for it is "partial 16S ribosomal RNA". It matches the Rfam family "Bacterial small subunit ribosomal RNA", at positions 28 to 507 of the family's 1533-position model. The record is from RNAcentral.